AAAUAGUGACAAUUUUUAAACACUUCCAGAGUUUGAAAACGCAACAGUUAGACACCGACGUAGGUCCAACAUGAUUCUAUUGGUGCAUGAUAAUAGAGAGUAUUUAGUGUAAGGAGGUUAGAUGUAGCGUCGUCACCGGUCUUUGCCGUAAUUGUUAAGGGUUGAUAGGAGUUAUGUACCAUGCCUGUACUCUGAAAGCUUUCUGCACUCCAAAUACAUUGCAAACAGGUUGGAAAGAGAUGUAAAAAUGUGUCCUAACCGCUUCAAUGACGAGAAUGCUGAUGAGCGACGCCAACAUCAGAUACAGCCGGAUUGGGAAACGGCCAAGAACGGAACGGUGUGGUUGCUCAGCAGUAACAGGUGACGCCGACAAUGGAGCUACGUCACGGCCUAUUGUGUCCCCAAAGCUGUUGACAUCACAGAACGAUUACGUCAACAAUCACUUGACGUCAUCAUCAAAUCUGGCUGUCAGCACGGAACACGGCAGGCGGGCUUGUUGCUGCCGUCAGACACGCCUGGUUUACACAGGCCAAUACUGACGAGAUAUGGACUCGAGUUCGACUCAGGUUGGAAAGAGAUGUAAAAAUGUGUCCUAACCGCUUCAAUGACGAGAAUGCUGAUGAGCGACGCCAACAUCAGAUACAGCCGGAUUGGGAAACGGCCAAGAACGGAACGGUGUGGUUGCUCAGCAGUAACAGGUGACGCCGACAAUGGAGCUACGUCACGGCCUAUUGUGUCCCCAAAGCUGUUGACAUCACAGAACGAUUACGUCAACAAUCACUUGACGUCAUCAUCAAAUCUGGCUGUCAGCACGGAACACGGCAGGCGGGCUUGUUGCUGCCGUCAGACACGCCUGGUUUACACAGGCCAUUACUGACGAGAUAUGGACUCGAGUUCGACUCAGGUAAACCAGACCCUCUAUUCCCUGCUUGAAAUACAGUCUAGAGUCGCAUUUGAACAAGACAUACACGCUAUAAACUGGCAUGAGCGUGUAUCCAGGGCUUGGUCAUGCGUCUGUCGGUGGUGAAUCGCGCUUGUUGCGCAUUUGUCCUAUUGUGAAAACAUGUUGACAAAUUCGGAGUGGAUAUCUGUUUAUAAGCCCAGUCUGAAACAUUGUUGUUACCGGUAGGGCAGGGCAUGCUUACCCUUUCGCGAACACCUGGUGUCAUCAUUGAUUUUUAGUCAUCCAUUCAUAUAAUUUUCACCACUAGUUUGCCAUUUACGCUCAAUGGAAUGUGUUUGGGCGGAUAAUUGAGACUGAUUGUUCUCUGGCGUUGACGUUAUAUAUUUACACGUUUGUCCAACUAUUUGCGCUUAUGAAAUCAUGCAUCAUGUGAUAAUAUUAAUAUAAAGUGAUUACAGCAG
Haliotis rufescens (red abalone) is the source of this 1365-nucleotide long non-coding RNA. RefSeq lists it as uncharacterized. NCBI's taxonomy places the organism in Eukaryota, Metazoa, Mollusca, Gastropoda, Lepetellida, Haliotidae. The transcript has 2 exons. The record is from RefSeq and is a predicted model, not a curated record.